Molecule: non-coding RNA, 166 nt
Filed under: pig gut metagenome
Source: RNAcentral
AUAUAAGUGCCUUUCGUCAUGGAAAGGAUAAUAGGGAAAUAAGUGAGAAGCUUAUGCGAUGCCGUCACUGUGAAGGUUUCGCUUUCUGAAUGGCUGUAAGGCCGCCACUGCAUGAGCGGGAAGGGAUCAGAAAGCACAGGGCCGAAGCCAGGAGACCUGCUUAUAU